CCAUAUCACGUUGAAACACAGGUUCCCGUACGAUCAGCGACGUUAAGCAACAUCGAGCCUGGUCAUUACCUAGAUGUGUAACCACUAGGAAAUCUCAGGUGUUGUAAG
Molecule: non-coding RNA, 108 nt
Organism: Acanthosepion pharaonis
Lineage: Eukaryota; Metazoa; Mollusca; Cephalopoda; Sepiida; Sepiidae
Source: the annotation of a GenBank genome assembly